UAUAAAAUGCCUGAAAAAGGGUUAUUCUGAUAGGAUAGAUUAUGUAAAUAAAAUUUUACUUUUAUAA
This 67-nucleotide transfer RNA is filed under the name Nesodiprion japonicus. RNAcentral describes it as "tRNA-Ile". Lineage: Eukaryota; Metazoa; Arthropoda; Insecta; Hymenoptera; Diprionidae. The record is from RNAcentral.